CCCCUGCCCACACCACCAUCUGGCAGACGAGACUAGAGGAGAGGCCAUAUCUCCUGUGCUCACAACAUCAGGCCUGGCUCACAGACACCUCUAACAGCAGGGACACUCAGGGAAUAAUGUUCAUCACUCAAGGAUUUUCACCAUCUGAAGCUGAAGUCAAGCUCAAGGGUAGUGCGAUGUUUUCGACACUGUGAUGGUGCAACUAUUGCUGAUUUCCCCCGAUCCAGAGGAUGCUCAAAUGUCCGUAUACUUAGGAGCUUUGGGUCACAGAAGUGUUUAUUAUAGUGCUCGUUGUCUUCUAAGCGGCAAGUGGCUCAGAAUCACUUGUGUUGUGGACUGCCAUUAUAAAAUCCCACGGUGAGUGGGUGACAAACUGCGGUCUUGUGCUCUUUACACUUAUAGAGAAGUUGUGAAGGCAAAGAUUGGGUACCAGCCCGUACAAGGCCUACUGAGCACUCUUCCUGGCUCUCUUUGGAGUGUCUUCAAGUAGUGAAAGAGGCCAGGACUUCUCAGGCAUUUCAACUGCAAGACCA
Mesocricetus auratus (golden hamster) is the source of this 533-nucleotide long non-coding RNA. RefSeq lists it as uncharacterized. NCBI's taxonomy places the organism in Eukaryota, Metazoa, Chordata, Mammalia, Rodentia, Cricetidae. The record is from RefSeq and is a predicted model, not a curated record. The transcript has 3 exons.